RNAcentral lists this ribosomal RNA (479 nucleotides) under Rubrivivax sp. R2. Its description in RNAcentral is "bacterial SSU rRNA". It matches the Rfam family "Bacterial small subunit ribosomal RNA", at positions 30 to 502 of the family's 1533-position model. The record is from RNAcentral. Lineage: Bacteria; Pseudomonadati; Pseudomonadota; Betaproteobacteria; Burkholderiales; Sphaerotilaceae.
AUUGAACGCUGGCGGCAUGCCUUACACAUGCAAGUCGAACGGCAGCGCGGGAGCAAUCCUGGCGGCGAGUGGCGAACGGGUGAGUAAUAUAUCGGAACGUGCCCAGUAGUGGGGGAUAGCCCGGCGAAAGCCGGAUUAAUACCGCAUACGACCUACGGGUGAAAGGGGGGGAUCGCAAGACCUCUCGCUAUUGGAGCGGCCGAUAUCAGAUUAGGUAGUUGGUGGGGUAAAGGCCUACCAAGCCUGCGAUCUGUAGUUGGUCUGAGAGGACGACCAGCCACACUGGGACUGAGACACGGCCCAGACUCCUACGGGAGGCAGCAGUGGGGAAUUUUGGACAAUGGGCGCAAGCCUGAUCCAGCAAUGCCGCGUGCAGGAAGAAGGCCUUCGGGUUGUAAACUGCUUUUGUCAGGGAAGAAAUCCUCUGGGUUAAUACCUCGGGGGGAUGACGGUACCUGAAGAAUAAGCACCGGCUAACU